Molecule: ribosomal RNA, 687 nt
Filed under: Salmonella enterica subsp. enterica serovar Senftenberg
Lineage: Bacteria; Pseudomonadati; Pseudomonadota; Gammaproteobacteria; Enterobacterales; Enterobacteriaceae
Description: partial 23S ribosomal RNA
Rfam family: Bacterial large subunit ribosomal RNA
Source: RNAcentral
CUGGGGGUGAAAGGCCAAUCAAACCGGGAGAUAGCUGGUUCUCCCCGAAAGCUAUUUAGGUAGCGCCUCGUGAAUUCAUCUCCGGGGGUAGAGCACUGUUUCGGCUAGGGGGCCAUCCCGGCUUACCAACCCGAUGCAAACUGCGAAUACCGGAGAAUGUUAUCACGGGAGACACACGGCGGGUGCUAACGUCCGUCGUGAAGAGGGAAACAACCCAGACCGCCAGCUAAGGUCCCAAAGUCAUGGUUAAGUGGGAAACGAUGUGGGAAGGCCCAGACAGCCAGGAUGUUGGCUUAGAAGCAGCCAUCAUUUAAAGAAAGCGUAAUAGCUCACUGGUCGAGUCGGCCUGCGCGGAAGAUGUAACGGGGCUAAACCAUGCACCGAAGCUGCGGCAGCGACGCUGAUGCGUUGUUGGGUAGGGGAGCGUUCUGUAAGCCUGUGAAGGUGGCCUGUGAGGGUUGCUGGAGGUAUCAGAAGUGCGAAUGCUGACAUAAGUAACGAUAAAGCGGGUGAAAAGCCCGCUCGCCGGAAGACCAAGGGUUCCUGUCCAACGUUAAUCGGGGCAGGGUGAGUCGACCCCUAAGGCGAGGCCGAAAGGCGUAGUCGAUGGGAAACGGGUUAAUAUUCCCGUACUUGGUGUUACUGCGAAGGGGGGACGGAGAAGGCUAUGUUGGCCGGGCGACGGUU